AGAGUUUGAUCCUGGCUCAGAAUCAACGCUGGCGGCGNNNUUAACACAUGCAAGUCGAACGAGAAAGCCCCGCAAGGGUGAGUAAAGUGGCGUACGGGUGAGUAACACGUGGGUAAUCUACCUUUUGGUGGGGAAUAACCCUGGGAAACCGGGGCUAAUACCGCAUAAGCUCGAAAGAGGAAAGGAGCAAUUCGCCGAAAGAGGAGCCCGCGGAUUAGCUAGUUGGUGAGGUAAAGGCUCACCAAGGCUAUGAUCGGUAGCCGGCCUGAGAGGGCACACGGCCACACUGGCACUGAAACACGGGCCAGACUCCUACGGGAGGCAGCAGUGGGGAAUCUUGCACAAUGGGGGAAACCCUGAUGCAGCGACGCCGCGUGAGCGAUGAAGCCCUUCGGGGUGUAAAGCUCUUUCGGCAGGGACGAUAAUGACGGUACCCGAAGAAGAAGCUGCGGCUAACUACGUGCCAGCAGCCGCGGUAAUACGUAGGCAGCGAGCGUUGUUCGGAGUUACUGGGCGUAAAGAGUGCGUAGGCGGUUUUCUAAGUUUGGUGUGAAAUCUCCCGGCUUAACUGGGAGGGUGCGCCGAAGACUGGAAGGCUAGAGUAUGGGAGAGGUAAGCGGAAUUCCUGGUGUAGCGGUGAAAUGCGUAGAUAUCAGGAGGNNNNCCUGCGGUGUAGACGGCUUACUGGACCAUAACUGACGCUGAGGCACGAAAGCGUGGGUAGCAAACAGGAUUAGAUACCCUAGUAGUCC
Molecule: ribosomal RNA, 752 nt
Filed under: uncultured bacterium
Lineage: Bacteria
Description: bacterial SSU rRNA
Rfam family: Bacterial small subunit ribosomal RNA
Source: RNAcentral